RNAcentral lists this ribosomal RNA (537 nucleotides) under uncultured Mycobacterium sp. Its description in RNAcentral is "bacterial SSU rRNA". It matches the Rfam family "Bacterial small subunit ribosomal RNA", at positions 54 to 606 of the family's 1533-position model. The record is from RNAcentral. Lineage: Bacteria; Bacillati; Actinomycetota; Actinomycetes; Mycobacteriales; Mycobacteriaceae.
CAUGCAAGUAGAACGGAAAGGCCCUUCGGGGUACUCGAGUGGCGAACGGGUGAGUAACACGUGGGUGAUCUGCCCUGCACUUUGGGAUAAGCCUGGGAAACUGGGUCUAAUACCGAAUACACCCUGCUGGUCGCAUGGCCUGGUGGGGGAAAGCUUUUGCGGUGUGGGAUGGGCCCGCGGCCUAUCAGCUUGUUGGUGGGGUGAUGGCCUACCAAGGCGACGACGGGUAGCCGGCCUGAGAGGGUGUCCGGCCACACUGGGACUGAGAUACGGCCCAGACUCCUACGGGAGGCAGCAGUGGGGAAUAUUGCACAAUGGGCGCAAGCCUGAUGCAGCGACGCCGCGUGAGGGAUGACGGCCUUCGGGUUGUAAACCUCUUUCAGUAGGGACGAAGCGUGAGUGACGGUACCUAUAGAAGAAGCACCGGCCAACUACGUGCCAGCAGCCGCGGUAAUACGUAGGGUGCGAGCGUUGUCCGGAAUUACUGGGCGUAAAGAGCUCGUAGGUGGUUUGUCGCGUAGAGCGUGAAAACUCACA